CCUACGGGUGGCAGCAGUGAGGAAUAUUGGUCAAUGGCCGUAAGCCUGAACCAGCCAAGCCGCGUGAAGGAAGAAGGAUCUAUGGUUUGUAACCUUCUUUUUUAGGGGAAUAAAGGUAUCCAUGUGUGGAUAUUUGCAUGUACCCUAAGAAUAAGCAUCCGCUAACUCCGUGCCAGCAGUCGCGGUAAUACGGAGGAUGCGAGCGUUAUCCGGAUUUAUUGGGUGUAAAGGGAGCGUAGGUUGUUGUUUAAGUCAGCGGUGAAAGUUUGUGGCUCAACCAUGAGAUUGCCGUUGAAACUGGAAGUCUUGAGUGUGUUUGAGGUAGGCGGAAUGCGUGGUGUAGCGGUGAAAUGCAUAGAUAUCACGCAGAACUCCGGUUGCGAAGGCAGAUUACUAGGCCAUAACUGACGCUGAGGCGCGAAAGCGUGGGGAUCAAACAGGAUUAGAUACCCUGGUAGUC
Molecule: ribosomal RNA, 460 nt
Filed under: uncultured bacterium
Lineage: Bacteria
Description: partial 16S ribosomal RNA
Rfam family: Bacterial small subunit ribosomal RNA
Source: RNAcentral